UACGUAGGGGGCAAGCGUUGUCCGGAUUUAUUGGGCGUAAAGAGCGUGUAGGCGGUUAUACAGGUCCGCUGUGAAAACUCGAGGCUCAACCUCGAGACGUCGGUGGAAACCGUUUGGCUAGAGUCCGGAAGAGGAGAGUGGAAUUCCCGGUGUAGCGGUGAAAUGCGCAGAUAUCGGGAAGAACACCCGUGGCGAAGGCGGCUCUCUGGGACGGUACUGACGCUGAGACGCGAAAGCGUGGGGAGCGAACAGG
This 253-nucleotide ribosomal RNA is filed under the name uncultured bacterium. RNAcentral describes it as "partial 16S ribosomal RNA". It matches the Rfam family "Bacterial small subunit ribosomal RNA", at positions 524 to 776 of the family's 1533-position model. The record is from RNAcentral.